GAUGAACGCUGACAGACUGUUUAACACAUGCAAGUCUACUUGAUCCUUCGGGUGAUGGUGGCGGACGGGUGAGUAACGCGUAAAGAACUUGCCCUGCAGUCUGGGACAACAUUUGGAAACGAAUGCUAAUACCGGAUAUUAUGUAUUUCUCGCAUGAGUUUUACAUGAAAGCUAUAUGCGCUGCAGGAGAGCUUUGCGUCCUAUUAGCUAGUUGGUGAGGUAACGGCUCACCAAGGCCAUGAUAGGUAGCCGGCCUGAGAGGGUGAACGGCCACAAGGGGACUGAGACACGGCCCUUACUCCUACGGGAGGCAGCAGUGGGGAAUAUUGGACAAUGGACCAAAAGUCUGAUCCAGCAAUUCUGUGUGCACGAUGAAGUUUUUCGGAAUGUAAAGUGCUUUCAGUUGGGACGAAGUAAGUGACGGUACCAACAGAAGAAGCGACGGCUAAAUACGUGCCAGCAGCCGCGGUAAUACGUAUGUCGCAAGCGUUAUCCGGAUUUAUUGGGCGUAAAGCGCGUCUAGGCGGUUUGGUAAGUCUGAUGUGAAAAUGCGGGGCUCAACUCCGUAUUGCGUUGGAAACUGCUAAACUAGAGUACUGGAGAGGUGGGCGGAACUACAAGUGUAGAGGUGAAAUUCGUAGAUAUUUGUAGGAAUGCCGAUGGGGAAGCCAGCCCACUGGACAGAUACUGACGCUAAAGCGCGAAAGCGUGGGUAGCAAACAGG
RNAcentral lists this ribosomal RNA (724 nucleotides) under uncultured bacterium. RNAcentral describes it as "bacterial SSU rRNA". It matches the Rfam family "Bacterial small subunit ribosomal RNA", at positions 28 to 776 of the family's 1533-position model. The record is from RNAcentral.